UCACACAUUUUUUUCCAUUCUUGUCAUACGUCUCUCUCUCUCUCUCUCUCUUCUCUUUCUCUCCUUUCUCUCCAUUGACAUCUCACACAAACACACGAACACCACCACCGACCACCACCAGCCACUGCCCCUCCGAUGAUGUUAGUUACACGAGCACCAAUCGAUUGAUUUAGAGCCACAGUGAUGUUAGUUACACGAGCACCAAUCGGUUGAUUCCGAGCUUGGCGUUCGAUUCAAAUUCCGAGGUUGGAGUUCGAUUCUGAUUCUGAGCCCCUUCCAUGGAUUUGAUUUCUUUGGGAGAAGAGAUGUCUGAAUUGUGAACUUUGGCAUGCAUGUGCUAGUCCUCUUGUUUCCCUACCUGCUGUUGGAAGCCGCGUGGUGUAUUUCUCUCAGGGCCAUAGUGAGCAGGUUACUACAUCAACCAACAAAGAAGUGGAUGCCCAUAUACCUAACCACCCAAGCUUAUCUCCACAACUCAUCUGUCAGCUUCACAAUGUGACCAUGCAUGCAAGGAAUCUUUAGUUCUAUUUUCUGGUUCUGGUUAUUUUACAAGGUGGUUUCUAGAAACUCAAUUUUUUUACUAGGCGAAUGUGGAGAUAGAUGAGGUAUAUGCUCAAAUGACCUUGCAGCCACUGAGCCCGGUACGCUAAUCUAUUAUUGAAGUUUAUUUACCAGUUUUAUGAUCUACUUUUUUCUUUUCUUUUCCCUAGAUAUAAGAUGAUCCAUAUUAUAGGUAAUCUUCUGAUCAAACUCUUCUACCUUCUACACACAAAUGGAGUGAAAACUCCUGGAUAUGUACUUUAUUGAGUGAAUAAUAGUGAAUGAUGUGAAUGCCCAUUUUCUUAUUAACAGUUGAAUCUUGAAAUUGUCAACUAGCAAGAUGAGUAGAGAGGUACUUUAUUUCUCAUUUAACAUAAAAUUGAAUUUAUAACCAAUUGUUGUCCACAUUAUUUCUUAUUUGAUGAUAAUGCAAUUUAGGCCAUUUAAACAGUGUACAAUGACCUAAAUGGUUUGUUUUUGGUUUGGAAUGGAUAGCCAUGAACAAUAUUAUAAAAAAAAAUAUUAUACAAAUUAACAAUAUAUAUAUAUAUAUAUAUCAAGAAAAGAAUGUUAUUGUUAAAAACUCCCAUCACUACCCUUCUUAUUUAAUUUUAUUUUUAUUGAUUUAUUUAUUUAUUUAGCUUUUUUAAUAAUCAACAGAAUUAUAGAAGAGUUGUAGUGACUUAUUGUUAUAGAUUAUGCUUCUACACAUUUACCUUACUUCACGAAAAAAGAAAAAAAAAAGAAGAAAAAAAAAGAUGUUGAAAUUUUUUAUUUAGUUUUGAGUUAACUAUGUGAUCAAAACAGGAAACAUGAUGUUAAGCAAUAGUUUUUAAGCACAAUGCUACAAACAUAAAUUCACUGUGGAAAUAGAAAAAUGCAAGUAUGAUGCGUACAAACCAGAGGAUUGUAUGCAACAAUCCCAAUUCCUAGUUCUCUGCUUAUAUCAAAAUAACAAUGGUACAGAUUAGAAAACACUGGAUUCUUGUUUAUUGCUUGCAAAACUUACUAGUUAACAUAACAAUAGUUCCACUACACCUCACCUGCAAGUAGGAAUGAUUUCUUCCUCUGCAUCUCGUCCACAAGGACCACUCCAACUGCACUGCUGUUAGAUGUAGCUAGCUUCACACCUGACUCAUGAAAUCUGAGGUAGUCAUAACCCGACUCGUGAAAUCCGCAUCAUAUUAGGCUGAAUUUUGGGGGAGUUUGGUCUCUCUCUCUCUCUCUCUCUCUGCAUUUCAGGUAGUCUUUUCUUCUGCAACUACUUUCUCUAUUGUUUAUUGAUUUGGAUUUGUUUUUCAGAAGUUGCCCUUUAUCGGUUGAUUGGAAUGGAGUUUUUUUAGCUUAUCGUUUUUGGGUUUCUCUAGAUUUUCAGUUUGAGGUAAUCUAGCUUCACUGAAUUUCAAUGGAAAAUGAACUUGGUGACCAUUUGAACUCAAUCUUGGAAAUGGAGAUGUUCUUAUUUUGCUGUUCUGCGAUUCUGAAUUGUGUAAUCUCUCUUUCCUUUAUUUGAUUUUAUACUUGACAUGAACUUGACGGUUUAGUCUUUUGAUACAUAUAUAUAUAUAUAAUAAGAUAAUAUGCCAAUCAAAAUAUGCUAUAUACGUCUAAGUUUUGUGGAUCUAGUACAGCAAAUGUGGAACAGAUCUUAUCCCAGCAUAUGUGUAAUCUCUCUUUUUUGGUUUAUGCUCUCAGAUUUGGAUUACCCUUAUCAUACUAUGGAUUUUUUGCAUCAAUUUUUUUUGUAGAAUCCAGAUUGAUGCAUCUAGCAUUAAUUUUUCUCAUGGUCCUUGAUACUUUUAGGAUAGAUAUUGAUGAUUUGGGGUUCUACACAAGUCUUGCAUACUCUGAUUGGUAGGCUACUCAUAUUCUGACAUGUUUUCCUCUCUGUCCCCCUAUCUGUCACUCUCUAUAUAUAGGUAUACCUAUUGAACAUUGGAUUUGUUGAACAAGAUAGAGGUUGCAACAACUAAACUGGUUGAACAAGAUGCUCACUCUUUAUUCUCUUGCUUUUUAUUUACGUACAUACAUGCAUGCCUAAUUACGUGUGUAGGGUCAGUUAUUUGGUGGAACAAAUGAUUCCCAUAAAUCUGUGUUUGAUUUGGUAUACUUUGCAGGGGAUUUCACUGUUAAGGAUGACACAAACAGGUAUGAUUCUUCCCUAUGGCAAUCAAGGUUGUUAAAAUCGGGAUCCUAAGUAGGAUCGGUGAGAGGGUCUGGUGGAUCGGAUCGUAGGAUCGGAUCGAGGAUCGUAAGAUCCUACUUUCUAUUAAAAAAAAAAGAUAAAAAUAAAAAUUAAAAUGAUACAUAUUAAAAAUAAAGUGAAAAAUCAUAAAAUCUACGAUCCUACUUGCGAUCCUACCUACGAUCCCAUACGAUCCUACACGAUCCCAUGCGAUCCUACACAAUCCUACUUGCGAUCCUGUUAUAGCAUCGAUCCUACAACGAUCUGGAUCGUUUUGGCAAAGUAGGAUUGUAGGAUCAUACGAUCCUACGAUCCGGAUCGCGAUUUUAAGAACCAUGAUGGCAAUGCAAGCACAAAAUUAAGGAUUUUUGUCCUUCGGUCACUAAAUAAAUCAUCUGGCACAAAAAGUAUUUGCUUAUAUAUAUAUAUAUAUAUUAUGCAAUGGGGAGGAAGUAUGCAGGUUCUUCACAUCCUGAGGAUAAAUGCUAUGUGAAUUGUGGACGUAAUGUAUUGUAGUUUUUUGUUUGUUUGUUUGUUUGUUGUUAACCAAAGUGUAUAUUAAUUGAAGGUUGAACCAUGUGGUGCUGUGAUACAAUGAAGAAUAAUCUAGUACUUCACCAAUUCGGUACCUUAUUAGUUUGUAAAAGUCUGGAAUCUGAUAGGGUAUUAUGUAUGUUGAUUACAUUGUCUUGAGUUUGGAAAGAUUAUCAUGUAUCAUGUAUCAUGUAUCAUGUUUGUUGAUUCCAUUGUCUGGAAUCAGAAAUAGUAAACUACUACUUAGCUUUGCUUUAUCUAAUGUCAUCUUAUGUAAUAUGACAAGGUUUUCACCUUUUUUUCCUUUGGUUUUUCUCUCUUUCCUUCUCUUUUUUGGAAGAAAUGGUGGGAUUGGUGGCUGGGCUGAAAUUACCAAUUACACUAGAUAAAUAAUACUAUGUUGUGAUUGAUUUUACAUGGUAGGCUUUGUGGAAAUAUGUUAUUGUAGACACUGCUAUAUGAUCUCUGUUCUUAAUUGAUCUGAAAGUCAACAUUUUAAAUGGCUAGAAAUGAGAAUUUGACUGUCAAUGGUAGUUUUAUCAUUAUGUAACACAUUUAGCGGCGUUUUAGAAUAUUACAAUUAAAUUUAGUUUAUUAGUUUACAACAGUAUGAUUAAUUAAGUUGGCCCCCCAGCCUUCGCUUGCUCUUUAUUGAAAUUCUUCUGGCUCAUGCCUUUUACUCUAGGCAUGCAUUUGGGAAAUUCAGAAGUGUGGCAUUAUUUCAUUGUCCAUGGUGUUUUGGGAUCUCCUUCAAUUUUCCACUAUGUAUUCCUUUAUAUUUUCAUUGUGCAGUUUAUAUUGUUGUAAUGGAUUACAGUGUUUUGUUUCAAUUUUCAUCAGGGAGAUAAUGUACCCCUUCCUUUAACAUCAUUUGAAGCUACUGGUUUUCCUUCAGAGCUUCUUCGAGAGGUUGUCUCAUCGUGAUCGCUUCAGCCGAAGUCUUCCUUGAAGAACGUUUUCACGGUUGUUGAGUUUGCCUUGACUUUGCAGGAAGCUGGGUGCUUUUCUGUUGUUUUGAAAUGUGCACUUGCACUUGUUGUUGUUGCCACUAUAACAUCUGCUCUUCGAAUCCCUACCACUGGUAUUGGGGCAGGGACUUUCUGUAGUAGCCAAGUUAAUUGAUUCUUUAGCUUUUUCUAAUACUCCUAAUAAUGAAUUAGACUUGACUGGCUUGUGUUGUGUAUAAUCUUUUUGCUUUCAUUUGUACAUAUAAUUUGCUAUUUGAUCUUGUAAUUUACUUUUCAAGUACUAAAAUGGGCAUUUUAAUGAUAUCAUGUGUUCAUA
Non-coding RNA from Camellia sinensis, 4543 nucleotides. The record is from RefSeq and is a predicted model, not a curated record. NCBI's taxonomy places the organism in Eukaryota, Viridiplantae, Streptophyta, Magnoliopsida, Ericales, Theaceae.